CCUACGGGUGGCAGCAGUGAGGAAUAGUGGUCAAUGGCCGUAAGGCUGAACCAGCCAAGUCGCGUGAAGGAAGAAGGAUCUAUGGUUUGUAAACUUCUUUUAUAGGGGAAUAAAGGUAUCCACGUGUGGAUAUUUGCAUGUACCCUAUGAAUAAGCAUCGGCUAACUCCGUGCCAGCAGCCGCGGUAAUACGGAGGAUGCGAGCGUUAUCCGGAUUUAUUGGGUUUAAAGGGUGCGUAGGGUGUUUUUUAAGUCAGCGGUGAAAGUUUGUGGCUCAACCAUAAAAUUGCCGUGGAAACUGGCAGACUUGCGUGUGUUUGCGGUCGGCGGACUGCGUGGUGUAGCGGUGCAAUGCCUCGAUAUCACGCAGCACUCCGCUUGCGAAGGCAGCUUACUAAGCCAUACCUGACACUGCCGCACGAAAGCGUGGGGAUCAAACAGGAUUAGAUACCCGGGUAGUC
Molecule: ribosomal RNA, 460 nt
Filed under: uncultured bacterium
Lineage: Bacteria
Description: partial 16S ribosomal RNA
Rfam family: Bacterial small subunit ribosomal RNA
Source: RNAcentral